RNAcentral lists this ribosomal RNA (853 nucleotides) under Salmonella enterica. RNAcentral describes it as "partial 23S ribosomal RNA". It matches the Rfam family "Bacterial large subunit ribosomal RNA", at positions 711 to 1483 of the family's 2925-position model. Lineage: Bacteria; Pseudomonadati; Pseudomonadota; Gammaproteobacteria; Enterobacterales; Enterobacteriaceae. The record is from RNAcentral.
AGACCCGAAACCCGGUGAUCUAGCCAUGGGCAGGUUGAAGGUUGGGUAACACUAACUGGAGGACCGAACCGACUAAUGUUGAAAAAUUAGCGGAUGACCUGUGGCUGGGGGUGAAAGGCCAAUCAAACCGGGAGAUAGCUGGUUCUCCCCGAAAGCUAUUUAGGUAGCGCCUCGUGAAUUCAUCUCCGGGGGUAGAGCACUGUUUCGGCCAGGGGGCCAUCCCGGCUUACCAACCCGAUGCAAACUGCGAAUACCGGAGAAUGUUAUCACGGGAGACACACGGCGGGUGCUAACGUCCGUCGUGAAGAGGGAAACAACCCAGACCGCCAGCUAAGGUCCCAAAGUCAUGGUUAAGUGGGAAACGAUGUGGGAAGGCCCAGACAGCCAGGAUGUUGGCUUAGAAGCAGCCAUCAUUUAAAGAAAGCGUAAUAGCUCACUGGUCGAGUCGGCCUGCGCGGAAGAUGUAACGGGGCUAAACCAUGCACCGAAGCUGCGGCAGCGAACGUAUCACUUAAAGCGAUUCAGCGGAUGACGAUUGACGGAGCGAAGCGACGUCAAAGCGUUUUACAACGUCGAGUCGGUUUAAGGAUACGUUCGUUGGGUAGGGGAGCGUUCUGUAAGCCUGUGAAGGUGUGUCGUGAGGCAUGCUGGAGGUAUCAGAAGUGCGAAUGCUGACAUAAGUAACGAUAAUGCGGGUGAAAAACCCGCACGCCGGAAGACCAAGGGUUCCUGUCCAACGUUAAUCGGGGCAGGGUGAGUCGACCCCUAAGGCGAGGCCGAAAGGCGUAGUCGAUGGGAAACAGGUUAAUAUUCCUGUACCUGGUGUUACUGCGAAGGGGGGACGGAGAAGGCU